UACGGAGGGGGCUAGCGUUGUUCGGAAUUACUGGGCGUAAAGCGUGCGUAGGUGGUUUGUUAAGUCUGAUGUGAAAGCCCUGGGCUCAACCUGGGAAUUGCAUUGGAUACUGGCAGGCUAGAGUGCGGUAGAGGGUAGUGGAAUUCCCGGUGUAGCAGUGAAAUGCGUAGAGAUCGGGAGGAACAUCUGUGGCGAAGGCGACUACCUGGACCAGCACUGACACUGAGGCACGAAAGCGUGGGGAGCAAACAGG
Molecule: ribosomal RNA, 253 nt
Filed under: uncultured bacterium
Lineage: Bacteria
Description: partial 16S ribosomal RNA
Rfam family: Bacterial small subunit ribosomal RNA
Source: RNAcentral